Molecule: ribosomal RNA, 497 nt
Filed under: uncultured bacterium
Lineage: Bacteria
Description: partial 16S ribosomal RNA
Rfam family: Bacterial small subunit ribosomal RNA
Source: RNAcentral
GAUGAACGCUGGCGGCGUGCCUAAUACAUGCAAGUCGAGCGAACAGAUGAGGAGCUUGCUCCUCUGACGUUAGCGGCGGACGGGUGAGUAACACGUGGAUAACCUACCUAUAAGACUGGGAUAACUUCGGGAAACCGGAGCUAAUACCGGAUAAUAUAUUGAACCGCAUGGAUCAAUAGUGAAAGACGGUUUUGCUGUCACUUAGAGAUGGAUCCGCGCCGGAUUAGCUAGUUGGUAAGGUAACGGCUUACCAAGGCAACGAUGCGUAGCCGACCUGAGAGGAUGAUCCGCCACACUGGAACUGAGACACGGUCCAGACUCCUACGGGAGGCAGCAGUAGGGAAUCUUCCGCAAUGGGCGAAAGCUUGACGGAGCCACGCCGCGUGAGUGAUGAAGGUCUUCGGAUCGUAAAGCUCUGUUAUUAGGGAAGAACAAAUGUGUAAGUAACUAUGCCCGUCUUGACGGUACCUACUCAGAAAGCCACGGCUAACUACGUG